Long non-coding RNA from Astatotilapia calliptera (eastern happy), 1184 nucleotides. Lineage: Eukaryota; Metazoa; Chordata; Actinopteri; Cichliformes; Cichlidae. The record is from Ensembl.
AGCAUCGGUAUCACAUGUAUAACCUGUGCAACCCAGCCUGGGGUCAGGAACCUUUGAGUGUUUGUGUGCAAGAGCAAGACAUGGAUGUGUAUCCAUCCAUCCUUCCAUCCCUCCACCCAGAGUAUUCCUAUAGUACUAAAAAAAAUAGUGAUGUUUCAAUAGCAGCACCUCCCAACCCUCCAGACCACUUCUGUUCAGCCCAACAGCCUCAAAGACGGAGCUACCGCCAAGCUACCGCGAGGCGUAACAAGUUCAAGGCCCCCGCUCCAGCCCGAGGCGGCAGACGGGUAAACAGUUGUUACUGGGUGAUUUUUUUUUUCCGCAGAGCCCAGACAAAGCCUCUCUGUGUGAGGAACAACAGCUACAGCUGGGCCGAGCAGAGUGAGACAUCGAUCCAUAAGCUCGUUCCUCCGCACCCCCUCCGAGCGCUCAUCUGGCAGUCAGCAGGAAGCAGCAGCGCAUGCCAGAGCUGGGCACUGCACUGCCACAAAAAAAAAGAAAGAAAAAAAAAUCUUCUUAACCAGCCGUUUAAUCAGAAGCUGAGUCUUCAAACCAUAUAUCUGGAAAAGGGACACGGCUAAAAUAAAUAUCUGCUGUCAGCAGCCUGUGAGGGAAGGCAGGUAAAGCUGCACUGGAAUGUUUUUUUUAAAUUCCAGAGACAAACAAAUGUCAAAAAUGAGAAGAGACGACCAUUUUUAAUGUCCGUUCCCCCUCCCCGUUUCCUGCUCCUCUCAUUUACAAUAACACAUUUAAAACAAAGACGCUAAAUAGCAAAUGAAAAUCAUACAAACUUUUAAUGUCUUUCUGUAAAACUUACAUUUUCGUGUACAUAAAUUUAAAUGCACCUAUCCCCUCGCAAUCACACUGGUCAUGAAGAGCCCCAGUAAAAAGUAUCAAAGAGAAGAGACAAGAGACGGGCGUUUAAUCUAAUCUAUGUUCUAAUAGUUGGAGAGACAUUAAUUAUUGAUAAGGCUGGCAAUUGAUUGGUUAAUAAGAUAAUGUAAUUGAGAAAUGAAAAUCAUCAGAGUUGGGCGUGCGUGUGUGUGUCGGCUCCAAUCGGAGUCGCACGGGAGGGUUUUGUGUGUGUGUGUGUGUGUCUUAGGGGAUUGCCCCUACAUAGGCUUCCAUCAUUACUGCCACACUAUAAAAGCAGAGUGGUGAUUAAAAGGACUUGAUUGAUUUGG